RNAcentral lists this ribosomal RNA (811 nucleotides) under uncultured cyanobacterium. RNAcentral describes it as "bacterial SSU rRNA". It matches the Rfam family "Bacterial small subunit ribosomal RNA", at positions 56 to 910 of the family's 1533-position model. Lineage: Bacteria; Bacillati; Cyanobacteriota. The record is from RNAcentral.
UGCAAGUCGACGGGGUCUUUCGGGAUCUAGUGGCGGACGGGUGAGUAACCCGUGAGAAUCUGCCUACAGGACUGGGACAACAGCUGGAAACGGCUGCUAAGACCGGAUGUGCCGAGAGGUGAAAUAUUUAUAGCCUGUAGAUGAGCUCGCGUCUGAUUAGCUAGUUGGUGAGGUAAGAGCUCACCAAGGCGACGAUCAGUAGCUGGUCUGAGAGGACGAUCAGCCACACUGGGACUGAGACACGGCCCAGACUCCUACGGGAGGCAGCAGUGGGGAAUUUUCCGCAAUGGGCGAAAGCCUGACGGAGCAAUACCGCGUGAGGGAGGAAGGUCUGUGGAUUGUAAACCUCUUUUGAUAGGGAAGAAGUUCUGACGGUACCUAUCGAAUCAGCAUCGGCUAACUCCGUGCCAGCAGCCGCGGUAAUACGGAGGAUGCAAGCGUUAUCCGGAAUUAUUGGGCGUAAAGCGUCCGUAGGUGGUUAGACAAGUCUAUUGUCAAAGCCCGGGGCUUAACCCUGGAGAGGCAGUGGAAACUGUUGGACUAGAGUGCGGUAGGGGCAGAGGGAAUUCCCAGUGUAGCGGUGAAAUGCGUAGAUAUUGGGAAGAACACCGGUGGCGAAAGCGCUCUGCUGGGCCUGCACUGACACUGAGGGACGAAAGCUAGGGGAGCGAAAGGGAUUAGAUACCCCUGGUAGUCCUAGCUGUAAACGAUGGGUACUAGGUGUUGCACGUAAUCGACCCGUGCAGUGCCGUAGCUAACGCGUAAGUACCCCGCUGGGGAGUACGCUCGCAAGAGUGAAACUCAAAGAUGA